AAAUAACAGGUAACAACACUAAAGCCAGACUACACCAGCUUUUCACGACCGUAGAGGAAGACAAACAGGGAGUAGUUGGUUGUUGUUAGCUAGCCACUGUUUUGGACAAUUCGGAAUGAAGUCAUCUUCCUUCCUUCGUCGUCCUGUAUUUCAAAGCCCUUCUACUGGCACCAUCUGUGAGAAAAAAACAUCACCCAGAUAGACCAGUCGUAUGAGAAACUCGUCAUCAUGCAAGUGAUCAGACAAGUGAAAAUUAUGGUCAGUAAAGAAAACUUUAAGCUCGUCUCUCAAUUGUAAAAAUCGUGUCAAUACUUUGCCCCUUGAUAACCAGCGUUUCAUGGUCGCUGCC
Oncorhynchus tshawytscha (Chinook salmon) is the source of this 349-nucleotide long non-coding RNA. NCBI's taxonomy places the organism in Eukaryota, Metazoa, Chordata, Actinopteri, Salmoniformes, Salmonidae. The record is from Ensembl.